Molecule: unclassified non-coding RNA, 145 nt
Filed under: Fagicola fagi
Lineage: Eukaryota; Fungi; Ascomycota; Dothideomycetes; Venturiales; Venturiaceae
Description: partial internal transcribed spacer 2
Source: RNAcentral
CUACCCUGGAGCCCUGCUCUGUGAUGGGCCCCGUCCUCGCGGACGGGCCCGAAACCCGUGGGCGCCGUCGUCCGGUCCCGAGCGUAGCAAGAGAAAUCCCUCGCUCGGAGCGCCGGCCGGUGGCCGCCCCGACCCAUCUUAACAA